AGAGUUUGAUCCUGGCUCAGAUUGAACGCUGGCGGCAGGCCUAACACAUGCAAGUCGAGCGGCAGCACAGAGGAACUUGUUCCUUGGGUGGCGAGCGGCGGACGGGUGAGUAAUGCCUAGGAAAUUGCCCUGAUGUGGGGGAUAACCAUUGGAAACGAUGGCUAAUACCGCAUGAUGCCUACGGGCCAAAGAGGGGGACCUUCGGGCCUCUCGCGUCAGGAUAUGCCUAGGUGGGAUUAGCUAGUUGGUGAGGUAAUGGCUCACCAAGGCGACGAUCCCUAGCUGGUCUGAGAGGAUGAUCAGCCACACUGGAACUGAGACACGGUCCAGACUCCUACGGGAGGCAGCAGUGGGGAAUAUUGCACAAUGGGCGCAAGCCUGAUGCAGCCAUGCCGCGUGUAUGAAGAAGGCCUUCGGGUUGUAAAGUACUUUCAGUCGUGAGGAAGGUGGUGUUGUUAAUAGCAGCAUCAUUUGACGUUAGCGACAGAAGAAGCACCGGCUAACUCCGUGCCAGCAGCCGCGGUAAUAC
Molecule: ribosomal RNA, 529 nt
Filed under: Vibrio anguillarum
Lineage: Bacteria; Pseudomonadati; Pseudomonadota; Gammaproteobacteria; Vibrionales; Vibrionaceae
Description: bacterial SSU rRNA
Rfam family: Bacterial small subunit ribosomal RNA
Source: RNAcentral